RNAcentral lists this transfer RNA (74 nucleotides) under Gemmatimonadaceae bacterium. Its description in RNAcentral is "tRNA-Val". It matches the Rfam family "tRNA". Rfam says of the family: Transfer RNA (tRNA) molecules are approximately 80 nucleotides in length. The record is from RNAcentral. Lineage: Bacteria; Pseudomonadati; Gemmatimonadota; Gemmatimonadia; Gemmatimonadales; Gemmatimonadaceae.
GGGCGGUUAGCUCAGUUGGUUAGAGCGCCACGUUGACAUCGUGGAGGUCACAAGUUCGAGUCUUGUACCACCCA